CCUACGGGAGGCAGCAGUGGGGAAUAUUGCUCAAUGGCGGAAACGCUGAUGCAGCGACGCCGCGUGAGCGAUGAAGUAUUUCUGUGUUUAAAGCCCUAUCAGUAGGGAAGAAAAUGACGGUACCUGACUAAGAAGCCCCGGCUAACUACGUUCCAGCAGCCGCGGUACUACGCAGGGGGCAAGCGUUAUCCGGAUUUACUGGGUGUAAAGGGAGCGUAGACGGCUGUGCAAGCCAGAUGUGAAAGCCUGGGGCUCAACCCCGGGACUGCGUCUGGAACUGGGUGGCUGGAGUGUCGGGGAGGCAGGCGGAAUUCGUAGUGUAGCGGUGAAAUGCGUAGAUAUUAGGAGGAACACCAGUGGCGAAGGCGGCCUGCUGGACGAUGACUGACGUUGAGGCUCGAAAGCGUGGGGAGCAAACAGGAUUAGAUACCCGAGUAGUC
RNAcentral lists this ribosomal RNA (440 nucleotides) under uncultured bacterium. Its description in RNAcentral is "partial 16S ribosomal RNA". It matches the Rfam family "Bacterial small subunit ribosomal RNA", at positions 338 to 795 of the family's 1533-position model. The record is from RNAcentral.